UAAAACCAGCUCCCCGAGUGGUGGGGACGAUUAUUGGGCUUAAAGCGUCCGUAGCCGGCUUGACAAGUCUUUCGUCAAAUCCAGCGACCCAAUCGCUGGGCCGCGGAAGAUACUGCCAAGCUAGGGGGCGGAAGAGGCCGAUGGUAUUCUUGGGGUAGGGGUGAAAUCCUAUAAUCCCAAGAGGACCACCAGUGGCGAAGGCGGUCGGCUAGAACGCGCUCGACGGUGAGGGACGAAAGCUGGGGGAGCGAACCGGAUUAGAUACCCGGGUAGUCCCAGCUGUAAACGAUGCGGGCUAGGUGUUGGAGCGGUCACGAACCGCUUCGGUGCCGCAGGGAAGCCGUUAAGCCCGCCGCCUGGGAAGUACGGUCGCAAGGCUG
Molecule: ribosomal RNA, 380 nt
Filed under: uncultured archaeon
Lineage: Archaea
Description: bacterial SSU rRNA
Rfam family: Archaeal small subunit ribosomal RNA
Source: RNAcentral